CGCGAAUGGCUCAUUAAAUCAGCUACAAUUUAUUAGAUCGUACAAAGUUAAAUGGAUAACUGUGGGAAUUCUAGAGCUAAUACAUGCUAAAAGUCUCUGCUCUUCGGGGCAGAGCGCAGUUAUUAGACCAAAACCAUCCGUACCUUCGGGUGCGAAUGUUUGGUGACUCUGGAUAACCUUCAGUGGAUCGCAUGGCCUUGUGCCGGCGACGUAUCUUUCAAGUGUCUGCCCUAUCAACUUUCGAUGGUAGGUGAGUUGCCUACCAUGGUGAUAACGGGUAACGGGGAAUCAGGGUUCGAUUCCGGAGAGGGAGCCUGAGAAAUGGCUACCACAUCCAAGGAUGGCAGCAGGCGCGCAAAUUACCCACUCCCAGUUCGGGGAGGUAGUGACGAAAAAUAACAAUGCGGGACUCUUAGAGGCCCCGCAAUUGGAAUGAGUACACCUUAA
Molecule: ribosomal RNA, 447 nt
Filed under: uncultured eukaryote
Lineage: Eukaryota
Description: bacterial SSU rRNA
Rfam family: Eukaryotic small subunit ribosomal RNA
Source: RNAcentral